RNAcentral lists this ribosomal RNA (301 nucleotides) under uncultured bacterium. RNAcentral's name for it is "partial 16S ribosomal RNA". It matches the Rfam family "Bacterial small subunit ribosomal RNA", at positions 509 to 807 of the family's 1533-position model. The record is from RNAcentral.
CAGUAGCCGCGGUAAUACAGAGGGUGCAAGCGUUAAUCGGAAUUACUGGGCGUAAAGCGUGCGUAGGCGGCUUCUUAAGUCGGAUGUGAAAUCCCUGAGCUUAACUUAGGAAUUGCAUUCGAUACUGGGAAGCUAGAGUAUGGGAGAGGAUGGUAGAAUUCCAGGUGUAGCGGUGAAAUGCGUAGAGAUCUGGAGGAAUACCGAUGGCGAAGGCAGCCAUCUGGCCUAAUACUGACGCUGAGGUACGAAAGCAUGGGGAACAAACAGGAUUAGAUACCCCAGUAGUCCCUGUCUCUUAUAC